Bactrocera neohumeralis is the source of this 1242-nucleotide long non-coding RNA. RefSeq lists it as uncharacterized. The transcript is spliced from 2 exons. The record is from RefSeq and is a predicted model, not a curated record. Lineage: Eukaryota; Metazoa; Arthropoda; Insecta; Diptera; Tephritidae.
UAAUAUUUCUGAUGGUAUUUGAUACACGUGUCCUUGGCACACCUUGAAGAAGUUGGUAUAUCAAAUUGGCAGUGCCGGAAAGUAGAACGUUACAGAAUAGAAGAUGGUAUUUAGCACUAAAUUUAAAAGCAAGGGUAUCUCCAACAAUCGGUAUGAUUAAUGUUCGCAAUCAAUUUGGGGGAUAUCAAUAUAAUGUGUAUGCUAUCAAUAUAAUGCCCUCUUUGAAGAGCUACAUAUAAUCGUGUCUAUAGAAUCAUAAACACGCCCACUUUCUAUACAAUGCCUUUCUGAAUCUAAUCAGUAAUGUGUGUGAAUCUUUAUGCUAUAUUCUCUACGAUUUUCGACCGUUAUCUUUGCCUAGCCUCUUUUGAUGAUUUCAUUUCUUUGUUUAAAGUGGAUAUUCCUGAUUUUAGGUGAGAUAAGCUAUUAAUAAUGACUUUAUAAGCUCAUAUAAUGAAUAAUCGCUUUUAUAAAAAAUUUUCCAUGUAACUUAAUACUAUAUAUCGUCACCUAAAGUGCAUUGAAACGUAACAACACUUUUCAUAGGUUUACAAGCGAUGGAAAAACGAUAUAAAAGAAGCCACUCAUAUUGAAACAAAAUUUAAGUUUGAGUUAUAAAAUGGUUAUAUAUUGGUUAUACAUUGGCUAUAUAUUGGUUAUAUAUUGUUUAUACAUUGGCUAUACAUUGGUUAUAUAUUAGUUAUCUUUGACACAGGAAGCUGUAAAUUUUAUGCUACAUAAACUUAAUAUGAUGCAGUGCACCGUAAGCAAUAAAAAAUUCCAUUUCGAUUAUUUUGAUGAUAUGUUGUUUUGCAUUUUAGGUAACGAUAUGUAUUUCCGAUUUUUUUUUUUGUGCACUUUAAUUUAAAAAAAAUUUUCUUUGACCAUAUACAUAUUUUCAUGAAAUUUGGCAUGUAUUAUUGUUUUAAAACAUAGGCACGUUUAACGAAAAAUUUGUUCAUAUGCUGUCAUACUGAUUGAUAAAACUCAAGGCUUUGUAUGGAAAACUUUUUUAUUUGACAAUAUAUCUGUACAAAAUUUGGCACAGAAUAUUUUCAGAAUCAGCAUUAUAUUUUCGGAAAAAACUGUUCCGAUCGCACAACUAUAGCAUAUAGCUGCCAUACAAACUGAGCGAUCAAAAUCAGUAUAAAGAAUUUGUAUACCCUUUUAUGUUAUAAGAAAUGUUACUGUGAACUAUAUUAUAGCUUCGGUGUAAGCCAAAUAAACUUAUCUUAAUUUUAA